Molecule: ribosomal RNA, 465 nt
Filed under: uncultured bacterium
Lineage: Bacteria
Description: partial 16S ribosomal RNA
Rfam family: Bacterial small subunit ribosomal RNA
Source: RNAcentral
CCUACGGGAGGCAGCAGUGGGGAAUAUUGCGCAAUGGGCGAAAGCCUGACGCAGCGACGCCGCGUGAGUGAUGAAGGUCUUCGGAUCGUAAACCUCUGUCAGCAGGGAAGAACGGUCACUGUGCUAAUCAGCAGUGAAUUGACGGUACCUGCAAAGGAAGCACCGGCUAACUCCGUGCCAGCAGCCGCGGUAAUACGGAGGGUGCGAGCGUUAAUCGGAAUUACUGGGCGUAAAGCGCUCGUAGGCGGUCUGUCAAGUCAAGUGUGAAAUCCCCGCGCUCAACGUGGGAACUGCCUUUGAAACUGGCAAACUUGAGUGUGUGAGAGGAUAGUGGAAUUCCAGGUGUAGGAGUGAAAUGCGUAGAUAUCUGGAGGAACAUCAGUGGCGAAGGCGACUAUCUGGAACAAAACUGACGCUGAGGAGCGAAAGCGUGGGUAGCAAACAGGAUUAGAUACCCUUGUAGUC